RNAcentral lists this ribosomal RNA (253 nucleotides) under uncultured bacterium. RNAcentral's name for it is "partial 16S ribosomal RNA". It matches the Rfam family "Bacterial small subunit ribosomal RNA", at positions 524 to 776 of the family's 1533-position model. The record is from RNAcentral.
UACGAAGGGGGCUAGCGUUGUUCGGAAUUACUGGGCGUAAAGCGUACGUAGGCGGCUUUGUAAGUUAGAGGUGAAAGCCCGGGGCUCAACUCCGGAAUUGCCUUUAAGACUGCAUCGCUCGAAUCAUGGAGAGGUGAGUGGAAUUCCGAGUGUAGAGGUGAAAUUCGUAGAUAUUCGGAAGAACACCAGUGGCGAAGGCGACUCACUGGACAUGUAUUGACGCUGAGGUGCGAAAGCGUGGGGAGCAAACAGG